This 263-nucleotide ribosomal RNA is filed under the name uncultured bacterium. Its description in RNAcentral is "partial 16S ribosomal RNA". It matches the Rfam family "Bacterial small subunit ribosomal RNA", at positions 524 to 786 of the family's 1533-position model. The record is from RNAcentral.
UACGUAGGUGGCGAGCGUUGUCCGGAAUUACUGGGCGUAAAGAGCGCGUAGGCGGUUAAUUAAGUCAGAUGUGAAAACCCGAGGCUUAACUUCGGGAUUGCAUUUGAAACUGGUUAACUUGAGUACAGGAGAGGUAAGUGGAAUUCCUAGUGUAGCGGUGAAAUGCGUAGAUAUUAGGAGGAACACCAGUGGCGAAGGCGACUUACUGGACUGUAACUGACGCUGAGGCGCGAGAGCGUGGGGAGCAAACAGGAUUAGAUACC